Molecule: ribosomal RNA, 260 nt
Filed under: uncultured bacterium
Lineage: Bacteria
Description: partial 16S ribosomal RNA
Rfam family: Bacterial small subunit ribosomal RNA
Source: RNAcentral
GUACGGGGGGGCAAGCGUUGUUCGGAAUACUGGGCGUAAAGGGCUCGUACGGCGGAGCCAACGUCAAGCAGAACGUGAAAUCCCCAGGACCCGUUAACCUGGGAACUGCGUCUGAUACUGGGAUGGCUUGAAUUCGGGAGAGGGAUGCAGAAUUCCAGGUGUAGCGGUGAAUGCGUAGAUAUCUGGAGGAAUACCGGUGGCGAAGGCGGCAUCCUGGACCGAGAUUGACGCUGAUGAGCGAAAGCUAGGGGAGCAACGGG